This 67-nucleotide transfer RNA is filed under the name Balclutha sp. EMHAU-2015-Zz052711. Its description in RNAcentral is "tRNA-His". The record is from RNAcentral. Lineage: Eukaryota; Metazoa; Arthropoda; Insecta; Hemiptera; Cicadellidae.
AUUUAAGUAGUUUAAUAAAAAAAAUUAAACAUUGUGGUUGUUUAGAUGUAUAAUUUUACCUUAAAUU